UUUUGUAUCGACUGAAUCUGAUUCCACGUAUCCCACUUAACAGAUUUUUUUUUUUCUGUGAGAAAAAUGCGAAUCUUCUAUUGACAGCACUACUGAAACCAGCUACCAUUACAUAUUUGACAGUUCAGGCUUGUCAGUUCAAAUGUGAAAAACAGCUGAAAUUCUGCAAUGUAAAAUUCAUGAAGUGCAAAGAAGCAAGCUUUUCAAAGACCUUCAAAAAAUGCCACGUCUAGUGAUGGGUCCAGCGACACCGAUGCAUUGACACAUGCGCCGGGCUCACAGAGCAAACCACGUGUCGAUGCAUGUGCUGGCUCAUUACGUCACGUGAUUGACACGUGAACUGCAUUGACACAGUCCAGGCUUCUAAUUGACACACCGGCUGCGUUGACACAGUCCAGGCUGCUAAUUGACACAUCGACUGUGUUGACACAGUCCAGGCUGCUAAUUGACACGUGAACUGCACCGGUGCAGUUUAGACUGCAUCGGCUGCUUGGCACAGUACAGGCUGCGCCACUUAGUCCAGGGGGCGUCGACUCAGUGCAGAGGGCGUUGACGCAGCAAAAGCCCGCCGCACAGUGUUUAUAAGGAAGUCGUUUGGCGACACAAUGCCACCUGCCGAAACAAGCCAGACCUCACUCACGCUCGCUUGUCGAAGUUCGUGUCAGUGCAGACUUCGUGUUCGUGCCUUGCCUUCCUUGCCGAUUAUGGAGCAGAGACGCAAAUCAUCCGCCGUGUGGGACCAUUUUGAUGUCCCGGAGAAUAAGGUGAAAUGUCGAAUUUGCCGGGUCGAAUUGUCAUACACUAACAGAAGCACCUCCACCAUGCUGAGGCAUUAUCGGGCCAAGCAUGAGAAUGAAGUUCGCGAUACACCCAGUAUUACGCCAGGUUCCAGGAAGCAGCUGUACUGGAAGGACCAACACACUUCUUUCCCAAACCUCUCCCACCUCGCAAAGGAGUUCCUUUGUACGCCAGCCUCAUCCGUCCCUUGUGAGCGUGUGUUCUCCACAGCAGGAGAAAUCGCUUGUAAAAGACGCAACAGGCUGAAGUUUAAAACAUUGGAGCAUCUUAUUUUUCUCAAUAAAAAUUUGUGAAAUAAAAGCCCACAAGCAUCCUCA
Long non-coding RNA from Hippocampus zosterae (dwarf seahorse), 1115 nucleotides. RefSeq lists it as uncharacterized. The record is from RefSeq and is a predicted model, not a curated record. Lineage: Eukaryota; Metazoa; Chordata; Actinopteri; Syngnathiformes; Syngnathidae. The transcript has 3 exons.